Molecule: non-coding RNA, 3316 nt
Organism: Vicugna pacos (alpaca)
Lineage: Eukaryota; Metazoa; Chordata; Mammalia; Artiodactyla; Camelidae
Source: RefSeq, a predicted model, not a curated record
UGUGGUGAUGGUUUCACAUGAGUAUCAAACAUCAAAUUGUAUACUUCAAAUAUGUACCAUUGACUGUGUAUCGAUUAUGCCUCAAUAAAACUGUUUAAAAAAAGGAAAAAAGAACAAACUCCAAUAUGCCUCCUUUUGAUCUCUGUGUCCAGGUUUCAUAUACUCAUGCUUUAGGGGCUGCUGAGAUUGGUUAACUUAACUGAUCCGUGUAUGGAAGACCAUGAUCACUGAGCCUCCCUCAUAGAAACAUCUUCAGGGGCUGAAGACAGCCUCCCAGCCAUGCUUGCUGUCUUACUCAAGACUGAACCCAGUGCAGCCAAGGCUUCUCCAUCUGCCCUCCCAGCAAUGUCACAGAGCCCAUUCUGGAGCAGAAACCACUUGUCAUUCAACUUUGUCAUCACAGAAGUAUCUUACCCAGAGCCUGAGGACCUGUGGAGACCUUGGGGUACUGCAGAGUUGACCAGGUCACUGGAUUCUGGGUGACAGUUCCUGGUGCUGCAAGAUGGAACGGCAGAAAUGUUCGCACUGUCAGUGGAAGAAUAACAUGUAAAGAAGAAUCUUUUAUCACAUGAGCUUUGUAAUAUAGAGCUGGGAGAGGGUCCAAAGAACUCCUCUGGUCCAGUCCUCUGUGUCCAAUCGGAAGACCACUCCAACUGCCUGAGAUAAGUGGUCCCCGUCUACUUUGACUAGCUCUUUCUUUUCUGUAAAAAACAACCAAACAAAACUAGGAAGAUCUGUUUUUCUUCUUGAUUCUUAAAAUUUCUUCAAAGAAAAAUUUGUCCGAAAUGUUACAUAUUUCAGACUCAGUUUUAAGUCUGUUUUGCUCUAUUUCAUGUAAUGUCUAAGAAAAGGAUCAGGUAAUCAGCAGUGCACUAACAUUUUCCCAACAGGUAUUAAUUUAGCCUUAUGUAUAUGAAAAAAAAAGAAUGGCCUAUUUAAGGGGGGACCAGUUAGGAAAGGAAAACUGUAAAAGAAUUUCUUUUAGAUGGUGCUCAUUCAGACACCAUCCAGAGGAAAAAGAAUGUUGGUCCCAGACCUAAAGUAUUCCGAUCAAACUGGGCACAUCUAUUUUGAGAUCAAUGUGUCUUAGCGUGCAGACAGUAAACUUGAAGUUCAUUUGGCCCCUGAUUCAAUACUUAGCAGCAAACUUCUGUUAAUAUUUGGAUGUCCAUGAGGCUCUGCCUACAAAGAGAAAAUAACCUUGCCUUGGACAGACCAUAAAAUGCUUGCAGUCGGAGUCAUAGCCAGAACCUUUUACGGGAGAGAGCAGCUUGAAGAAUUCUUUCGGUUUAAGAUUGGCAGUGGCUUGUGGCUCAGGAGAAAGGUGAAGGCAACGCUGCUCCCUAACCACAGGUGGUGGUCCUAAGGGUCCACUCAUGGGCCAGGCACGUGCAAACUAACAGCAAUGAGCCAGGUACUAAACGCUCCCCCAGCCAUUCAGUCUCUUCCAGAGAGCACGCCUCUGAGGUGACCCCAGAGUGGCUGGAGAAUCCUAUGGCUGGCAAGCUGCGUUUCCAGCAACCUCGGAGGCCAGACGUGCUUUUCCACCAUAGCAGCCCUCCCAGUGAUGGAGAUUCUACGUCUAGAAAACAACCAGAUGCAAUCUCCCAAGCCGCAUUGGAGUCGUCUGGUCUUUAAAGAUUAAACCCAUCUGGUUUUUGUGACUUUUUCCACGAUGGAUUCUUCGUCACCAGCCCGACAUCUCCUACAGUGAUUGGCAAUUUAAGUAAUUUGUAUUCUGUGAGGAAAUCAUUCACUUCUUCUGUUUUCCAAUGUGUUGCCAUAGAAUUGUGAGCAGUAAUCUCUUAUAAUUUUUUUCAGUCAUGCCCGUAUCAGUGGUUUGUGUCAUCUUUAAUCCUGCAUAUUUUUCCAAGAUUCCGUCUCAUGUGUGUGCAUGCCAUGUGCACUCUCUCCUUCCAUCAGAUUCACAGUGAAUUUAUCUGCUUUCUGGGUCAUAAUUUUUGUUUUUAACUUUUGAAUUUAUUUAUCCUUUCUGCCUUAUUUUGGUUGGUUUUUGUUUUCUAGCUUAUUCAUUUAAAAUUUAUUUAAUCCUUCUUAGUUUCUUUGUCUCCUGGUCCAUUCUUGUUGGCCUCUGGAAUGAUCAUCCUCUUCUUCAUGUGCUGAAAUGUCACCUAGGGAAAUUACGCUUGCUUUAGCUCUGGAAAGUGUUCAUGGGUGCACGUGUGUAAGCGCUGCAUUUGACUCUUGUGAACAUCUUUCCCUCCUCUUUCUCUCACGGUAGUUCUGUUUCACCAGGAAUGUAUAUUUGUCCCGACUGCCCUUCCUCUUUCUGGCUGCUGGGUCCUGAGCGGGUUUUUACAUCACUGGCUUUUUCUGGGCUGGCUGACGAGACCCCCCACAUCACGGCAGUGUGGUGGGUGGUGGAUGGUGGAAAUCCCAUGUGGGCUAGCAGUGCAGUGGCUGGAAGGUUGCUAGUCUCCAGGUCAGCUACCAGGAAAAGGCUCCAGGCUCCAAAUCUUUUCUUACCUCUAGCCUUGGGAGUGGGAGGACCUAACCCACAUCCAUUCUGUACUUUUUCGCUUAUUUAGGGGACAGGAUCUGACACCUUAGUGUGGGGCAUAUAAUGGCCUUUUCUCUAUGGUAAGCAGAUCCCUGGUUGGACAAGAUUUUUCCAAAAUUUCUGCUCUGAUUCUAGUCCAGGGCGCAGUCUGAUGCAAGUUGCAGGCCGUUGCCCCACCCCAGGGGAAAGCUGCAUGUUGAUUGUCUCCCCUCAUGCCCUCUGGGCCCGAGGCCAUGCUAACACCAGCUCUGUAUUGGUCUGAGCCACUGCUCAAAUUAGACGUGAUCUGGAUUUGGGAAUAGAGGAGUGGCAGCGGUUAAUCAUUUCCUAGAAUCCUCCCUUAGUGUCAAAGACUUGAAUUGUAGCAGGGUAAAACAGAGAAGCGUUUCUCUGCUCAUCCCUCCUUUUUUUUUUUAAACCCAGUAAUUUAGUGAUUUUAUCUACGUUUGUAUGAACCCCUCUGUGAUAUAUGCUAUGACAUUUUCGUUUCUUGAACUAUCAGUGGCCUCAGAGAAAACUGGUCUGCUAGCCCACCAUUUCCAACCAUAAUGUUUAAUUUCACUACUUUAAAUGAAAUUCAUCAUUUUGGUGAGUUGGCCUGUAGCACUUAAUUGGCUUACAUAAAAUAACUUUAACUCUCUCAUCAUUAUGUUUAAUUACCUAGGAUAAUGUUUGCACACAGUUCAUUUUGGACGUUUCUCCAAGAUGUUAAAUUGCUUAAAAAUAGACAUGGCAUACACUAUAAAGAUAGCCACAUCUGUAGAUACAGAUCUCCAUCUGGUAAACCUAAUAUAU